GUUUUACCUUGACGAAUUGUAGUUUAAAGAAGUGUUUUCUGUUGAAGUUUUGGUAAAAGUUCUUUGGAAUAGGACAUCAUAGAGGGUGAGAAUCCCGUAUUUGACCAUUAUUUUCAGCUGUGUGAUACACUUUCAAAGAGUCGGAUUGUUUGGGAAUGCAGUCCAAAAUGGGUGGUAAAUUUCAUCUAAAGCUAAAUAUUGGCGAAAGACCGACAGCGAACAAGUACCGUGAGGGAAAGAUGAAAAGAACUUUGAAAAGAGAGUUAAACAGUACGUGAAAUUGUCAAAAGGGAAGCGUUUGACACCAGUGUUGUUUUCUCGAAAAUCAAUUAAAAAAAGUUGGAUUUUGUGUUGUAUUGACCUUAACAGCUUUCUGCACUUUUUUCCUGCUUUUUUU
RNAcentral lists this ribosomal RNA (397 nucleotides) under uncultured Neocallimastigomycetes. RNAcentral describes it as "partial 28S ribosomal RNA". It matches the Rfam family "Eukaryotic large subunit ribosomal RNA", at positions 127 to 520 of the family's 3401-position model. Lineage: Eukaryota; Fungi; Neocallimastigomycota; Neocallimastigomycetes. The record is from RNAcentral.